RNAcentral lists this ribosomal RNA (253 nucleotides) under uncultured bacterium. Its description in RNAcentral is "partial 16S ribosomal RNA". It matches the Rfam family "Bacterial small subunit ribosomal RNA", at positions 524 to 776 of the family's 1533-position model. The record is from RNAcentral.
UACGAAGGGGGCUAGCGUUGCUCGGAAUCACUGGGCGUAAAGGGUGCGUAGGCGGGUCUUUAAGUCAGGGGUGAAAUCCUGGAGCUCAACUCCAGAACUGCCUUUGAUACUGAGGAUCUUGAGUUCGGGAGAGGUGAGUGGAACUGCGAGUGUAGAGGUGAAAUUUGUAGAUAUUCGCAAGAACACCGGUGGCGAAGGCGGCUCACUGGCUCAUUACUGACGCUCAGGCGCGAUAGCGUGGGGAUCAAACAGG